Molecule: ribosomal RNA, 439 nt
Filed under: uncultured bacterium
Lineage: Bacteria
Description: partial 16S ribosomal RNA
Rfam family: Bacterial small subunit ribosomal RNA
Source: RNAcentral
CUACGGGUGGCACCAGUGAGGAAUAUUGCACAAUGGGGGGAACCCUGAUGCAGCAACGCCGCGUGGAGGAUGACGCAUUUCGGUGUGUAAACUCCUUUUAUAUGUCAAGAAAAUGACGGUAGCAUAUGAAUAAGCACCGGCUAACUCCGUGCCAGCAGCCGCGGUAAUACGGAGGGUGCAAGCGUUACUCGGAAUCACUGGGCGUAAAGGACGCGUAGGCGGGUUGGAAAGUCAGGUGUGAAAUCCUACAGCUUAACUGUAGAACUGCACUUGAAACUUCUAAUCUAGAGUAUGGGAGGGGGAGAUGGAAUUAGUGGUGUAGGGGUAAAAUCCGUAGAUAUCUCUAGGAAUACCUAAAGCGAAGGCGAUCUCCUGGAACAUUACUGACGCUAAGGCGUGAAAGCGUGGGGAGCAAACAGGAUUAGAUACCCUAGUAGUC